RNAcentral lists this ribosomal RNA (119 nucleotides) under Lepisosteus oculatus (spotted gar). The record is from RNAcentral. Lineage: Eukaryota; Metazoa; Chordata; Actinopteri; Semionotiformes; Lepisosteidae.
GCCAGCAGCCAUGUCACCCUGCAACUUACAAUUGGCAGCCCACUGAAGCUCAGCAGGUGUGAGCCUGGUCAGUACCUGGAUGGGAGACCUCCUGGGAAAAACUAAGGUUGCUGCUGGAA